Molecule: ribosomal RNA, 457 nt
Filed under: uncultured Hydrogenophaga sp.
Lineage: Bacteria; Pseudomonadati; Pseudomonadota; Betaproteobacteria; Burkholderiales; Comamonadaceae
Description: bacterial SSU rRNA
Rfam family: Bacterial small subunit ribosomal RNA
Source: RNAcentral
GCACAAGCGGUGGAUGAUGUGGUUAAUCGAUGCAACGUCGAAAACCUUACCCACCUUUGACAUGUAUGGAAGUUUCCAGAGAUGGGUUCGUGCUCGAAAGAGAGCCAUAACACAGGUGCUGCAUGGCUGUCGUCAGCUCGUGUCGUGAGAUGUUGGGUUAAGUCCCGCAACGAGCGCAACCCUUGUCAUUAGUUGCUACAUUCAGUUGGGCACUCUAAUGAGACUGCCGGUGACAAACCGGAGGAAGGUGGGGAUGACGUCAAGUCCUCAUGGCCCUUAUAGGUGGGGCUACACACGUCAUACAAUGGCCGGUACAAAGGGUCGCAAACCCGCGAGGGGGAGCCAAUCCAUCAAAGCCGGUCGUAGUCCGGAUCGCAGUCUGCAACUCGACUGCGUGAAGUCGGAAUCGCUAGUAAUCGUGGAUCAGCAUGUCACGGUGAAUACGUUCCCGGGUCUU